UGUAAGCGUAUACCAAAGUUGUUGCAGUUAAAACGCUCGUAGUCGGAAUUUGGCAGUUCCGGAUGUGUGCACGUCGUGUGCGCACUUCGCGGGGAUUGCUUUUGUGGUCUUGCGUAGGAUGAGGCACUUUUAUUAGUGAACGUCCUCACGCAACCACUUUUUACUGUGAGAAAAUCAGAGUGCUCAAAGCAGGCAUUUGCCGUGAAUGUAUUAGCAUGAAAUAAUAGAAUAGGACUUGGUUCUAUUUUGUUGGUUUGUUGGGACUGAGUAAUGAUUAAGAGGGACAGUUGGGGGCAUUUGUAUUUCGGUGCUAGAGGUGAAAUUCUUAGAUUACCGAAAGACAAACUGCUGCGAAAGCGUCUGCCAAGGAUGUUUUCAUUGA
RNAcentral lists this ribosomal RNA (382 nucleotides) under uncultured eukaryote. RNAcentral's name for it is "partial 18S ribosomal RNA". It matches the Rfam family "Eukaryotic small subunit ribosomal RNA", at positions 592 to 976 of the family's 1831-position model. The record is from RNAcentral.